GUGGGGUUUUACGUGCCAAAACCACUUUCUGAUUAUGAGGCACGCCGUAGUAGGGGACUCCGGAAAUUUCGACCACCAGGGGUUCUUUAACGUGCACCUAAAUCUAAGUACACGGGUGUUUUCGCAUUUCGCCCCCAUCGAAAUGCGGCCGCCGUGGCCGGGAUUCGAUCCCGCGACCACGUGCUCAGCAGCCUAACACCAUAGCCACUGAGCAACCACGGCGGGUGCAAGUAUGUCAUGGCAAAGAUGUUAUGACCUUUCAUUCAUGUUAUACAUGCAUGCAUGUCAUGCCCCCCUCCUAAUGGCUACGCUGAUAUAUACCCAGUUGAAGAAACAACCACGACAGCAUCAUGACGUUCGUGUUGGCAAAAUUUGGCGCAGUUGGCACAGGGGUGAAACUGCUCACUGUCAUUCAACUGACAGUGGCACAAAGCUAUCAAGCUCGUGCUACUUCUGAUUGGAUGACAAUCUUCUGUUUGAUAAAACAACCUCCACCUCCAGACUUUCCACGUAACUUAUUUCUCUAUUGAAUGUUUCUGCCCUUUAAGUUCUCAAUUUGCUCUCGCCCAUCACCCAUUAGCCUCCUGGUUAGUUCAGUAGUAAGUAAAACUGCCCUGGAAAAGUGGUGGCAUCGUGUCGGAUCCAUUAACCACAACAAACGUUUGUUUAACUACGAAAAUUUCUUUCAGGAGAAACUGUCCGUUUCCUUUGUAGUUUGUGGGGACGCUCGGAUAUAUCGCAUCUCCUGUCUUUCGGCUUUCUUGUGUGACACAUAUGCAACAACAGAAGUCAGCGUCAUAAGCUAUGCAGCUGCAAAGAGAGAUGGCAGAAAAUGGAUUCGGAAAUUGCCUGCGCUUUACCACCGGAUACGAGACCAAAACAGUGUUCGUGGCAUUGGCAAUGGCCGACAUUAAAAGCCAUGAGGCACAGCACCAUCACCAUCACAAAAUGGCAACAAACCAUGUUUUCGUCAUGGAGGAAGGACAAUGGUUUUUGUGAAGUUGCUGUGGGUUCAUUUUGUGCUCGACUACGAUAUGGAGCGGUAUUCUCCGUCGGUCACUUUCGAAGAUACUAUCAUUUUCGCAAGAUUUCAUGCAAACGGGAACAAAUUGCGUAGGCUUAUUUGGCCAGCAGUAUUUCUGGUGCUGUGCGAAGCGAUAUUAGGGUGCCUCAAUGGCCUCCUUGCCCGCUGUGAUGAGGUGCGCAUUGAAGCACCUUACUCGCUUUCUGUGCACUGUGCCAGGAAUGCUGUUGGCUGCAUACUUCAACAAAUCCGAUGCAGAGUCACAUAAAAUGCCGUGAAAGUGAUAGCAGUACUUCUAAAUGUGAUCAUUUGAGAACACCGCCCCUGUGUGCUUGUUAUCUGUGAUCAAUGAAGCACAAAUUACAUCAACAUGCCAUCUUCAUUGUGAAAGCUUAUUUUCCAAAAAUGCUUCCCUUCUGUGAACGUAAAUUCUGCAUGUCUUUUUUUUUCCUGAUCACAAACGUGGAGGGAAUGCUAUAUUUUUCAUUUAUAAAUCAGGGGAAUGUUACAUUCAGGUGCACUUUUAUUUUUUUUAAAUUUCAACCCACAAAAAUGGAGUGUGCAUUAGAUUCAGGGGCGCAUUAGAAUCAUGUACAUAUGGCAUUUUGGCUAGUUGGCAACGUACAAAAGGAGCAAUAAAUGCCCUUUUUGUAUGUUUGAACUUGCAUACUUUGUUACCAAGAGCACUGAGACCCCUCAAAUUUCAUGCUUUCAGGUGGCCAAUUUUCACUUUCAUGGCUCAUUUAUAUAGACCUGCACUGUAAGUAAAUUAUUACAACCUAGUUUAUACCUUCAUUAGCGGUAUCAAAAAUGGAUAUUUUUGCUAGUUUUUCGUGGCAUAUACACUCAUAUUUCAAUCAUAAAAUUUUCCACAGAGGCUCCCCUGCACCUAUGCAAUCUGAAAAUCACAACUAGGCUUUUUAUAUGGCUCAAAAUUUAUGAACAUGAACAUGCUACAGCAUGAAAAAUUUUUUUUUGUUUUGUUUUGAUUUCCAUUUGUCCUUGAGUCAAAUACUAAGCAAGGGCUAGAUU
Long non-coding RNA from Dermacentor andersoni, 2056 nucleotides. RefSeq lists it as uncharacterized. The record is from RefSeq and is a predicted model, not a curated record. NCBI's taxonomy places the organism in Eukaryota, Metazoa, Arthropoda, Arachnida, Ixodida, Ixodidae.